This 254-nucleotide ribosomal RNA is filed under the name uncultured bacterium. RNAcentral's name for it is "partial 16S ribosomal RNA". It matches the Rfam family "Bacterial small subunit ribosomal RNA", at positions 524 to 776 of the family's 1533-position model. The record is from RNAcentral.
UACGGAGGGUGCAAGCGUUGUUCGGAAUUACUGGGCGUAAAGCGCGUGCAGGCGGCCUUUUAAGUCUCGUGGUGAAAUGCCGGGGCUCAACCCCGUGCCCGCCGGAGAUACUGGGAGGCUGGAGACAUGUAGAGGCAAGCGGAAUUCCGGGUGUAGCGGUGGAAUGCGUAGAGAUCCGGAAGAACACCGGAGGCGAAGGCGGCUUGCUGGGCAUUGUCUGACGCUGAGGCGCGAAAGCGUGGGUAGCAAACGGG